Molecule: ribosomal RNA, 506 nt
Filed under: uncultured bacterium
Lineage: Bacteria
Description: partial 16S ribosomal RNA
Rfam family: Bacterial small subunit ribosomal RNA
Source: RNAcentral
GAUGAACGCUAGCUACAGGCUUAACACAUGCAAGUCGAGGGGUAACGAGAGGGAAGCUUGCUUUCCUUGUCGACGACCGGCGCACGGGUGAGUAACGCGUAUCCAACCUGCCCCCAACUAGGGAAUAACCUUGCGAAAGUAAGACUAAUACCCUAUAAUUUCCUCAGAUGUCAUCUGACGAGGAAUAAAGAUUUAUCGGUUGUGGAUGGGGAUGCGUCUGAUUAGCUUGUUGGCGGGGUAACGGCCCACCAAGGCAACGAUCAGUAGGGGUUCUGAGAGGAAGGUCCCCCACAUCGGAACUGAGACACGGUCCAAACUCCUACGGGAGGCAGCAGUGAGGAAUAUUGGUCAAUGGGCGGAAGCCUGAACCAGCCAAGUAGCGUGCAGGAUGACGGCCCUAUGGGUUGUAAACUACUUUUAUACAGGAAUAAAGUUAGCCACGUGUGGUUAUUUGUAGGUACUGUAUGAAUAAGGACCGGCUAAUUCCGUGCCAGCCGCCGCGGUAA